This 253-nucleotide ribosomal RNA is filed under the name uncultured bacterium. RNAcentral's name for it is "partial 16S ribosomal RNA". It matches the Rfam family "Bacterial small subunit ribosomal RNA", at positions 524 to 776 of the family's 1533-position model. The record is from RNAcentral.
UACAGAGGGUGCGAGCGUUGUCCGGAAUCACUGGGCGUAAAGGGCGCGUAGGUGGCCUGGUAAGUCGGGGGUGAAAUCUCGAGGCUCAACUUCGAGGCUGCCUCCUAAACUGUCAGGCUUGAGCAGAGUAGAGGCAGGUGGAAUUCCCGGUGUAGCGGUGAAAUGCGUAGAUAUCGAGAGGAACACCUGCGGCGAAGGCGGCACUCUGGGCCGGUACUGACGCUGAGGAGCGAAAGCGUGGGGAGCAAACAGG